This 941-nucleotide ribosomal RNA is filed under the name Foraminifera sp. RNAcentral describes it as "SSU rRNA". It matches the Rfam family "Eukaryotic small subunit ribosomal RNA", at positions 1160 to 1791 of the family's 1831-position model. Lineage: Eukaryota; Foraminifera. The record is from RNAcentral.
AAGGGCACCACAAGAACGCGUGGAGCAUGUGGCUUAAUUUGACUCAACGCGGGGAAACUUACCGGGUCCGGACACACUGAGGAUUGACAGGCGCUUACCAUGUGAGGAGGUCUUCGGACCGUAAUCACUGGUAAACCAAAUAUGCUAGCCCUUUCAUGAUUGUGUGAUAGGUGGUGCAUGGCCGUUCUUAGUUCGUGGAGUGAUCUGUCUGCUUAAUUGCGUUUCACUUAACAUGGGGUAUGCCUCUUGUCAUUGCUGUUCCUUUUCAUUAAGGACCAAUGUUCAAGCUGGCUAUAGUCCCCAGAAGGCAACGAACGUGACCGCAGCUUCUUGUUGCACGUUGGCGUGCUGUUCUUUUGAACUCACGUAGUGCUAACUAGAAGGACCGCUAGUGACUCUAAAACAGAGGAAGGAUGCGGCAAUAACAGGUCUGUGAUGCCCUUAGAUGUUCCGGGCUGCACACGUGCUACAAUGAUUGCAUCAGUAAGCAUCUAUCAAGUUGAUUUUGUUUUUUCCUUCACUGGUUAAAACAAAGAGAGGUUGUUGUUAGCAAUAACAACACCUUUUACAAGACCUACUGUGAGAACUAGUAGGCAAUCACUUGACAGUAGCAAAGUUCCCCAUAGCGCACAUUAAAUGUCCCUUGCUCAGCUCCAGUUUUCGGACUGGCUUUGUUAUGUUGACUUGGUGACAUGUGCUCCUUUAGUUCGUGGUAGGGACAGACCAUUGAUAAUUGUUGGUCUCGGUCUCAACUAGGAAUGCCUAGUACGGGUUGGUUCAACAAACCACCCGGAAUACGUCCCUGUCUUUUGUACACACCGCCCGUCGCUCUUUCCGAUGGACUUUUCUGUGAGUUUGAGGGACUGGCGCUUGUUUGUUCUUCGGAACCUUGCGCUAUGGAAACUUAAACGAACAGUGUGGUCUAAAGGAAAGAGAAGUCG